AUGAGGUCGAUGCGCCCCCUGCCACACUUCCUUCUUCGUCGCGUCACCAUAUUUGGAGGAGAUGCGGGUUCUGCUCGCGCAUCUGCUCCUCCCGGAGUUGUCGCCUUCGGCAGGAGGGAGUGCCGGACCUCGCGCCAACUCGAGGACCGCCGCUCCGGCGGCCCGUUGUUUCUGGCCGCUGUCCGCCUCGUUGGCCCUCUUCGUGGCUUGCCCUCUGGUGCCCCAUCCAUUCGCUACCAGUCACGCACCAGCUUUAGGUUGCCGGCACCUAGGAGGGACCGGACAGCAAAAUCGGUGCUCAUCAAAGAUAGCGUUGAUGCCCCUUACGGCCUUACCCGACAACACAGUUCUGCGGAAGCUUCUUGGUCUCCGUUCCAUGGUGUUGCCAACGAGCAAGUGCUGAAGCACACAAAAUAUAAGGGUGUAGAUGAGGAGGCGAGGGCUGACGACAACCAUGGGAGGAGAAACAUUCAAGCCAUUGUAACAUGUUUCGCAGGGGAGCACGUCCAGCUGUCGUAUGAGAAGAAGGGCGCGCAGCUGAGGACCCAGGAUGCCAAUGGUGUGGAGCCGUUCGCCAUCGAGACGACCAGGGCUGCCACUAGGGACCUCCAGACCAAGCUCAACAUCUCUGCCGCCUUCGUCGAUGACGUGUCCUGA
This 657-nucleotide ribosomal RNA is filed under the name Triticum aestivum (bread wheat). RNAcentral describes it as "partial small subunit ribosomal RNA". Lineage: Eukaryota; Viridiplantae; Streptophyta; Magnoliopsida; Poales; Poaceae. The record is from RNAcentral.